AUUGAACGCUGGCGGCAUGCCUUACACAUGCAAGUCGAACGGCAGCACGGGAGCAAUCCUGGUGGCGAGUGGCGAACGGGUGAGUAAUAUAUCGGAACGUGCCCAGUCGUGGGGGAUAACGUAGAGAAAUUUACGCUAAUACCGCAUACGAUCUAAGGAUGAAAGCGGGGGACUCGCAAGGGCCUCGCGCGAUUGGAGCGGCUGAUAUCAGAUUAGGUUGNGGUGAGGUAAAAGCUCACCAAGCCGACGAUCUGUAGCUGGUUUGAGAGAACGACCAGCCACACUGGGACUGAGACACGGCCCAGACUCCUACGGGAGGCAGCAGUGGGAAUUUUGGACAAUGGGCGAAAGCCUGAUCCAGCAAUGCCGCGUGCAGGAAGAAGGCCUUCGGUUGUAAC
Molecule: ribosomal RNA, 398 nt
Filed under: uncultured bacterium
Lineage: Bacteria
Description: bacterial SSU rRNA
Rfam family: Bacterial small subunit ribosomal RNA
Source: RNAcentral